GUAUACUCAGUCUGUGAAGAUAGAGUAUACGUCCUCAGAAAAUGACAAGCAUGUGGGGCGUAAGUAUAUACAGCAAGGUUAUCGUUUAUCCUCAUUUAUACAGGUUAAUUGCGCAGCUGUAAAAAACGGGAUUGAUAGAAUAGAUGGUAUAUAUGAUCGUGCGGACGUUAAAAUCAUGU
This 179-nucleotide non-coding RNA is filed under the name unclassified sequences. The record is from RNAcentral.